Molecule: non-coding RNA, 835 nt
Organism: Puma concolor (puma)
Lineage: Eukaryota; Metazoa; Chordata; Mammalia; Carnivora; Felidae
Source: RefSeq, a predicted model, not a curated record
UGGUCCGCUACGGGGCCAGGGCGACUUGAUUCACCGGUGCGUGUAAAUAAUGGACUACGCCGCUCAGGGAUGGCCUUGGAAGAUGGCAGCCAGGAGCAGUCCUCCAGGGGACAUAUAUCUGGGUAGAAUACGUGGCUCUGAGAACCAGAAGAUAGCAGUAGGAGAGGUCUUUCUCACCAUUGGUCCCAGUGACCAACAGAGGGAACUGUGCUUUCUGUCCUUGCCACAUUGGCUUCUGCGGCUUCCAGGGGAAGAACGUCUUCACCAGAGGACACAUUUCUCAGGCAACCGGUCCGACCAAAAUCCUGGAGAAGAAGCUUCCCUGAUGGGGCACACUCAUGACAAGAAGCAACUUCAUCCGUGGUGACUCUGGACCAUGGGCACUGUGGGGCUCUGCUUGGGGGUCUCUUCAGGGCCAGGUUGUCCACCACUCAGCUGCCUUUCUGGGAACUGCCCUCAGCCUCAGGGAAGUGCCCCCCUGCAAGGUUCCUUCACCUCUCAGAGUGCAGUCCAUGUCCGAUGACUGACUGGCCUGGGGGGUCCACAUGCAAUCUUGGCAAGAGUCAUCCUCUCCCAGUGCUCAAUUCCACCUUCCCCCACUUCCUCAAAGAUGUGUCUUCUGAGAACACUCCCAGUAAACCCCCCCUGGGUGCAGUUUUGCAUCUCAGACUCUUUCCAUGGAACCCAAGCUGGCUUUCCAGUUCCAAAGCCAAGGGCUUUAGGAUAUUGGAAAUGCCUCAUGGAAUAUAUAAGGUUUUGGGGUGAAAAUAAGAGUAACAGUAGCUUCUCCCAAGCCAAAGCAAAACAAAACAAACCAAAAAAAUAAAAUUAGGGC